ACGCACGCUGGCGGCGUGCUUAACACAUGCCCGUCGAACGGAAAGGCCCCUUUGGGGGUACUCGAGUGGCGAACGGGUGAGUAACACGUGAGUAACCUGCCCUUGACUUCGGGAUAACUUCAGGAAACUGGGGCUAAUACCGGAUAGGAAUCCUUGCUGCAUGGUGGGGGUUGGAAAGCUUCGGCGGUUUUGGAUGGACUCGCGGCUUAUCAGCUUGUUGGUGGGGUAGUGGCUUACCAAGGCUUUGACGGGUAGCCGGCCUGAGAGGGCGACCGGCCACAUUGGGACUGAGAUACGGCCCAGACUCCUACGGGAGGCAGCAGUGGGGAAUAUUGCACAAUGGGCGGAAGCCUGAUGCAGCAACGCCGCGUGCGGGAUGACGGCCUUCGGGUUGUAAACCGCUUUCAGCAGGGGCGAAGCUUGUGGUGACGGUACCUGCAGAAGAAGCACCGGCUAACUACGUG
RNAcentral lists this ribosomal RNA (464 nucleotides) under uncultured bacterium. RNAcentral's name for it is "partial 16S ribosomal RNA". It matches the Rfam family "Bacterial small subunit ribosomal RNA", at positions 29 to 507 of the family's 1533-position model. The record is from RNAcentral.